AGGAUGAACGCUGGCGGCGUGCCUAACACAUGCAAGUCGAACGUCCUGUCUCGCAAGAGGCAGGGAGUGGCGGACGGGUGAGUACCACGUGGGUCAUCUACCGUGAGGUGAGGAAUACCGGCGAGAAAUCGCCGACAAGACCGCAUAGGCUCGAUGCAAGUCGAGCAAAGCUCUUUCGAGAGAGGGAGCGCCACACGAGGAGCCUGCGCCCGAUUAGCUAGCUGGUGGAGUAACGGUUCACCAGGGCGACGAUCGGUAGCUGGUCUGAGAGGACGAUCAGCCACACUGGGAUUGAGAACGGCCCAGACUCCUACGGGGGGCAGCAGUGAGGAAUUUUUCGUCAAUGGGGGGCAACCCUGAACGAGCAACGCCGCGUGCAGGAAGAAGGUUUUCGGAUCGUAAACUGCUUUUCUCGGGGAAGAGAACGGACGGUACCCGAGGAAUCAGCCCCGGCUAACUACGCGCCAGCAGCCGCGGU
This 478-nucleotide ribosomal RNA is filed under the name uncultured bacterium. RNAcentral describes it as "SSU rRNA". It matches the Rfam family "Bacterial small subunit ribosomal RNA", at positions 26 to 521 of the family's 1533-position model. The record is from RNAcentral.